Daktulosphaira vitifoliae (grape phylloxera) is the source of this 698-nucleotide long non-coding RNA. RefSeq lists it as uncharacterized. The transcript is spliced from 12 exons. The record is from RefSeq and is a predicted model, not a curated record. NCBI's taxonomy places the organism in Eukaryota, Metazoa, Arthropoda, Insecta, Hemiptera, Phylloxeridae.
CAUAACUGAAAAAUCGUAAUUUUUGAGUUAUUUGCAAAUAAUAAUAACACUGGUAUUUUUUCUAUACUGAUUGAACGACAAAGAACAUCCAUUAUGCCAUUUGAAGUAACUAACGAUUUAAAUAUCUUGGCCGAAAAUAUGAGAAUUAUCAAUAGGACUUCACCUUAUAAUGCUAAUGACUUCAGUGAAGUUAUAAGAAUUAUCCAUGCGUUUCCAUAUAAUAGUGAUGACAAUUCUCGAGUUUUGAUUAAUACCUUGGCCGAAGCUAUGAGAAAUAUCAAUAGGGCUUCAUAAAAUACUGAUGACAAUACCGGCUCCUCAAGAAACAAUGAUGACAUUUUCAUCUCGCCCUUGAAGACUUUUAUUCAAGAUAUUUAAAUGCUCAAAUAAGUCAGAAAGAAAAGCUAAUUUCAAAAGGAAUGCCGGGUCGCAAAUGAAUUCAGAGUAUUCUGACUUAGCCUGCUGUAAAUAUAUUAAAAGUUCAGCACGAAGUUCCAUAACUCUGGUGAAGAUUAGAAAAUACAAUCCAAAUGGAAAAUUCUAAUAAAAUGUAAUAAUUAUUCUAAAAAAUCAUUAUUUUGUAAUACUUAUUUGAAAAUAAAAUUAUUUUCAACCUCUUUAAAAUUUUUCUAAAAUAAUUAUUUAUUAAAAAUAUUGUAAAAUUAUUUAUUUAAUGAAAAUGUAAGACUAAAAAUGUU